This 606-nucleotide ribosomal RNA is filed under the name Micrococcus luteus. Its description in RNAcentral is "bacterial SSU rRNA". It matches the Rfam family "Bacterial small subunit ribosomal RNA", at positions 55 to 674 of the family's 1533-position model. The record is from RNAcentral. Lineage: Bacteria; Bacillati; Actinomycetota; Actinomycetes; Micrococcales; Micrococcaceae.
AUGCAAGUCGAACGAUGAAGCCCAGCUUGCUGGGUGGAUUAGUGGCGAACGGGUGAGUAACACGUGAGUAACCUGCCCUUAACUCUGGGAUAAGCCUGGGAAACUGGGUCUAAUACCGGAUAGGAGCGUCCACCGCAUGGUGGGUGUUGGAAAGAUUUAUCGGUUUUGGAUGGACUCGCGGCCUAUCAGCUUGUUGGUGAGGUAAUGGCUCACCAAGGCGACGACGGGUAGCCGGCCUGAGAGGGUGACCGGCCACACUGGGACUGAGACACGGCCCAGACUCCUACGGGAGGCAGCAGUGGGGAAUAUUGCACAAUGGGCGAAAGCCUGAUGCAGCGACGCCGCGUGAGGGAUGACGGCCUUCGGGUUGUAAACCUCUUUCAGUAGGGAAGAAGCGAAAGUGACGGUACCUGCAGAAGAAGCACCGGCUAACUACGUGCCAGCAGCCGCGGUAAUACGUAGGGUGCGAGCGUUAUCCGGAAUUAUUGGGCGUAAAGAGCUCGUAGGCGGUUUGUCGCGUCUGUCGUGAAAGUCCGGGGCUUAACCCCGGAUCUGCGGUGGGUACGGGCAGACUAGAGUGCAGUAGGGGAGACUGGAAUUCCUGGU